UUUUUUUUUAAAUGUAUGGAUACAAAAUUUAUAAACAAAUAUUGAUAACAAAACAUAAUGGUUUAAUUUGUAUAAUCCGAUCAGAUUCCAGUUACCUCCGCUACCAAAAGUGUUACAGUCCAUUUGUGGAUCGAUGCCCCUUCGAUUGACGUUUGCUGUGGAAUGUUGUCCACAAAUAAAUAUAUUGAAAGCAACAAUAUUUUGAGCGGUGUUAAUGAAUUAACUCAGAUAUAGUCUUUCAAAGACAAUAAAAUGGUACUGCGCUCGGGUAUAAUAAUUCCUUUUCAAUUUCGUGACAGUAAGAAACUUCUAAUGAUCGGAGUGCCUGAAGAGAACCGUAAUUUGAACAUUUGGGACUUGAGAAAUGUUGUUAGAGCUGCAUUUGGAAUUUAUAACUUUGAGUUUCGAAAUAAAAAGAUUGGAUUCAACAUACCGGAUGAGCUGCUUUUGCAUUAUUUGGCGCAACGCUAUGAUCUUACCAAUUUCGUUAUAGAAAUUGGACAAGCUAAUCUAAAUGAUGUACAAGAUAAUGGCAUCGCUGACUCGUCUUCUGCAGAGAACUUUGUUCCUACAGACUUUUCCUUACAAUUAAAUGAAAAUAUACACCUUGGAGAAGCUCGGGGAAUACAGUAUGGGGACCCCUUUGAUGGUAAACAUACUAAAUAUACAGAAGUUGUACCUAAUUCCGAUGGGCGAAAAGUGUUUGGAAGUGCUUCCGAAACCCUUAAUAAGGAGACUGCUUACCAAGGUUAUUCGCACCCAUCUGAAAGAUCUAAAUUGUCGGUUAUUACUGACGAGCAAACAAUUACAAAAUGUGAGCCGAGUGAUUGUGAAAUCGAAAAAACACGAACACUAAAAAAGCAAUUGUUUGAAAUCGACCAUGUACAAGAUCCGCAAAAUCAAGAAUUCCAAUUGUGUGACACAGGGCAUCCUUUUGAAAAUAGAGCCAACGCUGACAUUCCCUUUAAGAAAAUUAGUUACCAGCAACAUCAGUUUGCUUCAUGUUCAAUGAACCGCUUUAGAAGGAGGGGAGAGAGAAUGUCUAAAGACCAAAAGGAAAUGUAUGUUAAAUAUUUCGAAGAAAACCCAUGCAUGCAGUCUCAACGACGCAACGACUCUCUGCUAGAAUCGCAUUGGAAUAAAUUGGGUACGAUCUUAAACAAUAUACCACAAGGAGCGGUAAAAAACGUGGAGGAAUGGAAACAAACAUUUGAUGCUUGGCGGUACAGGGUGUUUAUGUACUAUCGCUACAAUUACAAACUCUCUGGCUCCGUUACGCACAAUGUAAAAACUUUCAAACCACUAACAUCCACCGAUCAGCGAGCGUAUUCAAUGUGGACUAGUUAUAAAACAACCUCCCUGCAACAAUCAGAUUAGCUGGGCACAUUUAGCAAAUCGGAAACUGAACAGCCAAAUUGCACUUAUUGAAUACCAAAGUAACCUUAAAAUAUACCUAUAAUGUACAAUGUCAUAAUUUACAAAAAUAAAAAUUCCAAUAAAUAUAAAAACUCGACUAAACAUGUUUACAUUUGUGUGAUGCUACAUGUACAUAUGUAGAUACUGUAAACUAUGUUUUAAAUGUUGUAUGUACAUUUUAUUCUUCUAUAUACAAUGCAGUUUAUGAUCCUUGCAAAGAAAACUUCACUUCAAUCGGGAGUUGUUCAACAUGUCGUUGUUCAGCAGCACAAAAGUCGUCUUUGGAAUUACAUGAUAACGCAGACACUCCCAUUUACCAUACAACAGUUAGUGGUCGUUCUAAUGCCAGCGGAACAAGUUCACAAAAUUCGCAGAAUGCUGAUGAAAUCCCCACAAUGAAAGUUCGUAUGCAGCAUUCGAAUAUACCUGCUAGUGACAUAAGUCAUAUGGAAAUAGAGCCGAAAAUUGACUAUGACUCGACAAUUAAUACGACUGGUUCCAACACUGAGGUAGACGGCUCUUCCCCUCCGCCGUUACCGGUCCACGCAAAAUCGAGUGUCUAUAUUGAUGAAGAACAUCAUCAACAGCAGCAACAAGAAUUACACUUGGAGCGUUUACAACACGAAUAUGCAUUGCAACACCACCAGCAACAACAACAUUUCGAGACUUUGAUGCAAGAGAAUACAACUGGAAAUAGCUUUAGGCAACGAAAAGAACGUAUGUCGAAAAAACAAAAAGAAAUAUACGUUAACUUUAUGGAGCAAAAUCCCGUCAUUAACGAACACCGUCGAAGUGAUCCUAUUUUGGAUCAAUAUUGGGUAAAAUUAGCAGAUAUUCUUAAUUCAGUGCCACAAGGGGCAGUAAAACAUGUAGCAGAAUGGAAACAGACUUUCGAUAAUUGGCGUUAUCGUGUGUUUUUGUACGCUCGAUACAAUUCGAAAAUCACAGGUACCGAUGCCUUAAAUCCAAAAAGCUUCAAGCCCUUCACACAAACGGAUAAGCGCGCUUAUCACUUUUGGAUAAGAAACCCUGAUACGGCUCCACCUGAUUUGGAAAAAAUGCGAAAUGUGUUCGUGAAUCUAGAGGACACUCAACAAGAAUAGUUAGGUAGCACUAAAAAUAAACUAUAGAAUCGGUAGCACAUGUUAAUUGAUAAUCCUAUUUUUCAAUAAAACUCAUAAUUUUUGUCAUAGGAA
Non-coding RNA from Bactrocera oleae (olive fruit fly), 2612 nucleotides. The record is from RefSeq and is a predicted model, not a curated record. Lineage: Eukaryota; Metazoa; Arthropoda; Insecta; Diptera; Tephritidae.